RNAcentral lists this transfer RNA (84 nucleotides) under Malassezia vespertilionis. It matches the Rfam family "tRNA". Rfam says of the family: Transfer RNA (tRNA) molecules are approximately 80 nucleotides in length. Their secondary structure includes four short double-helical elements and three loops (D, anti-codon, and T loops). Lineage: Eukaryota; Fungi; Basidiomycota; Malasseziomycetes; Malasseziales; Malasseziaceae. The record is from Rfam by way of RNAcentral.
GACCCUGUAACUCAGUUGGUUAGAGUGUGGAGCUAAUACCUUUGUGUUACUCCAAAGCCGCCAGUUCGAGCCUGGUCAGGGUCA